GGCAAUAUAGAGGUCACAAUCUGGCACCGACACAUUAUGUUCCUUCCAUGAGUCGGCAUCCCUUAACAGGCGACUGGUAAUUCUGCUUUCUUCAUAAAAUUUGAUUGGCUGUGAGCCUGAGAAAUUGAUGAAAAAAUUUAUCUCGUUCAGAUAUUUUGGUACAAAAUUUCUUUAUAUUUUGACCACCUAGAAAAAAACCUCCUAAUACAAGAGAAAAAAUUGGACAAAAGUGAUUGCCAUGAAGUUCCCCUAUCUUUAAUCACUCUUUUCUUCCAUUUCAGGUACCCAGCAAUCAAUAAGCCUGUUGCAGUUGUUCACUGGCUUAAUCAUGCAAAUAUUGAUGCAGAAUUCAUAGUUAUUCUCGAUGCUGACAUGAUCUUGCGAGGCCCAAUUACACCAUGGGAGUUCAAAGCAGCACGUGGCAAGCCAGUUUCAACUCCCUAUGAGUAAGAACUUCCGUGAUCUUUCUUUCUUUAAUGGUUGAAACUGUGUAUGCUGGUGGAUAUCUGUGUGCAUAUGUGUUUGAUGUAUUUACAUAAAGAAGUGAUAGAUCCUGCCUUCGUUCUACUAACGUAAAUAUACAUUGUAGCUAUCUUAUUGGCUGCGACAAUGAACUUGCAAGACUUCACACUCGCAAUCCUGAUGCUUGUGACAAGGUUGGGGGUGUUAUCAUCAUGCAUAUAGAUGACCUGCGGAAAUUUGCUCUGCUAUGGUUGCAUAAAACUGAGGAAGUCCGGGCUGACACAGCUCAUUAUGCCACAAAUAUCACUGGUGAUAUAUAUGAAUCCGGGUGGAUUAGUGAAAUGUAUGGCUACUCAUUUGGUGCAGCUGAGGUACUCUACUUUUAAAAGACUUUCAUAGUAAAAGUAAUUGGUCUAUGUAUAUUCUGCAUUCCCAUGCAUCGGAUUGUUGAGAAAAUAUCGUUAUUUGCUUGGAAAAUAUUGCUUUCAUUUACACUAAUUUUCUGCUGCCAUGCAGCUAAAAUUGCGGCACACCAUAAAUAGGGAGAUACUAAUAUAUCCCGGGUAUGUUCCCGAGCCUGGUGUCAAUUAUAGAGUUUUCCACUAUGGUUUGGAAUUCAAAGUUGGUGAUUGGAGCUUCGAUAAGGCAAAAUGGAGAACUGUCGACGUGGUAAACAAAUGCUGGGCUAAGUUUCCCGACCCACCUGACCCUUCAACACUGGAUAAGAGUAAAGAUGACACACUACAGCGAGACCUGCUUAGCAUAGAAUGUGCAAAGACACUGAACGAAGCAUUACUUUUGCAUCACAAGAAGAACUGUCCCGAUCCCAAUUCCUUAUCCACCUCAAAUUUGGAUAAGACAGACAACUUUCCUGGUUCCAGGAAAUUUGUUAGGGCUUAUGGAGGUAACAAUGCUGGAAGAAGCAAUCCUACUGUAAAUCACACUCGGGAAUCAACUCUUCCUCCUGUAACAGACAGCCUGUUUAGUUCUCUGAGGAUUUGGAUUAUUGUUUUAUGGGUUGUAUCCGGCUUGGGUUUCUUCGUGGUAAUGUUAGUGGUGUUUUCAGGUCGUAGGAAUAAGGGAACGAGAGGUAAAAGUUACAGAAAUAAGAAAAGAUCCUAUACAAAUUUCGUGGACACAAAUGGCCAUGAUAGGCAUCCCCGGAGUGCUGAAUCAUCUUUAUGACAUUGAAACUUGUAGAAGAAGAAGAAAGUACAAAUGCUCAUGGUGAUUGGAUUUACAGAGAUUGAUACCUGAACAUAGAUUUAAAUGAUUUGGAAAAUGGAAAUCAUUGCAUUAUUCACCUGGAUAGUGACUACUCUGAACUUCAGAUGCUUCUCUGCUCAGAAUUCAGUUUCAGAAACCUAUAGAAUCAGCUUUAAGAAUGCUUUGAACUGACAU
This 1863-nucleotide long non-coding RNA is filed under the name Carica papaya (papaya). RNAcentral's name for it is "long non-coding RNA (CPAP_LNC005965)". The record is from RNAcentral. Lineage: Eukaryota; Viridiplantae; Streptophyta; Magnoliopsida; Brassicales; Caricaceae.